Molecule: ribosomal RNA, 445 nt
Filed under: uncultured bacterium
Lineage: Bacteria
Description: partial 16S ribosomal RNA
Rfam family: Bacterial small subunit ribosomal RNA
Source: RNAcentral
GCCAGACUCCUACGGGAGGCAGCAGUGGGGGAUAUUGCACAAUGGGCGCAAGCCUGAUGCAGCGACGCCGCGUGAGCGAAGAAGUAUUUCGGUAUGUAAAGCUCUAUCAGCAGGGAAGAAAAUGACGGUACCUGACUAAGAAGCCCCGGCUAACUACGUGCCAGCAGCCGCGGUAAUACGUAGGGGGCAAGCGUUAUCCGGAUUUACUGGGUGUAAAGGGAGCGUAGACGGCAGUGCAAGUCCGGAGUGAAAGCCCGGGGCUCAACCCUGGGACUGCUCUGGAAACUGUAAAGCUGGAGUGCGGGAGGGGCAGGCGGAAUUCCUAGUGUAGCGGUGAAAUGCGUAGAUAUCAGGAGGAACACCGGUGGCGAAGGCGGCCUGCUGGACUGCAACUGACGUUGAGGCCCGAAAGCGUGGGGAGCAAACAGGAUUAGAUACCCCAGUA